This 158-nucleotide small nuclear RNA is filed under the name Oryza sativa Indica Group (long-grained rice). RNAcentral describes it as "U2 spliceosomal RNA". The record is from RNAcentral. Lineage: Eukaryota; Viridiplantae; Streptophyta; Magnoliopsida; Poales; Poaceae.
AAAUUUACAGUGCAUUUUCUUGUAAGUUACAGUGUAAUUUAUGAAACUUACACUGUAACUUUUGUAAGUUACACACAUGUAAAUUUUAAAUUUUGUAUUGGAUUUGGUCUUUUUCUUGAGGAUAUGGUAAUUUAAUGUUCAUUAUGGUGUUUCUUAAU